RNAcentral lists this ribosomal RNA (1819 nucleotides) under Yersinia pestis. Its description in RNAcentral is "partial 23S ribosomal RNA". It matches the Rfam family "Bacterial large subunit ribosomal RNA", at positions 1149 to 2925 of the family's 2925-position model. The record is from RNAcentral. Lineage: Bacteria; Pseudomonadati; Pseudomonadota; Gammaproteobacteria; Enterobacterales; Yersiniaceae.
UCGAGUCGGCCUGCGCGGAAGAUGUAACGGGGCUAAACCAUGCACCGAAGCUGCGGCAGCGACGUUUAGGCGUUGUUGGGUAGGGGAGCGUUCUGUAAGCCGUUGAAGGUGACCUGUGAGGGUUGCUGGAGGUAUCAGAAGUGCGAAUGCUGACAUAAGUAACGAUAAUGCGGGUGAAAAACCCGCACGCCGGAAGACCAAGGGUUCCUGUCCAACGUUAAUCGGGGCAGGGUGAGUCGACCCCUAAGGCGAGGCUGAAAAGCGUAGUCGAUGGGAAACAGGUUAAUAUUCCUGUACUUGGUGUUACUGCGAAGGGGGGACGGAGAAGGCUAGGCUGGCCGGGCGACGGUUGUCCCGGUUUAAGCGUGUAGGGGGAGUGACCAGGUAAAUCCGGUUGCUUAUCAACCCUGAGGCGUGAUGACGAUGCACCACGGUGCAGAAGCAGUUGAUGCCAUGCUUCCAGGAAAAGCCUCUAAGCAUCAGGUAACAUUAAAUCGUACCCCAAACCGACACAGGUGGUCAGGUAGAGAAUACUCAGGCGCUUGAGAGAACUCGGGUGAAGGAACUAGGCAAAAUGGUGCCGUAACUUCGGGAGAAGGCACGCUGGCGUUAGGUGAAAGGACUAGCUCCUGGAGCUGAAGCCAGUCGCAGAUACCAGCUGGCUGCAACUGUUUAAUAAAAACACAGCACUGUGCAAACACGAAAGUGGACGUAUACGGUGUGACGCCUGCCCGGUGCUGGAAGGUUAAUUGAUGGGGUCAGCCGCAAGGCGAAGCUCUUGAUCGAAGCCCCAGUAAACGGCGGCCGUAACUAUAACGGUCCUAAGGUAGCGAAAUUCCUUGUCGGGUAAGUUCCGACCUGCACGAAUGGCGUAAUGAUGGCCAGGCUGUCUCCACCCGAGACUCAGUGAAAUUGAACUCGCUGUGAAGAUGCAGUGUACCCGCGGCAAGACGGAAAGACCCCGUGAACCUUUACUAUAGCUUGACACUGAACAUUGAGCCUUGAUGUGUAGGAUAGGUGGGAGGCCUUGAAGUGUGGACGCCAGUCUGCAUGGAGCCAACCUUGAAAUACCACCCUUUAAUGUUUGAUGUUCUAACUCGGCCCCAUGAUCUGGGGUGAGGACAGUGUCUGGUGGGUAGUUUGACUGGGGCGGUCUCCUCCCAAAGAGUAACGGAGGAGCACGAAGGUUAGCUAAUCACGGUCGGACAUCGUGAGGUUAGUGCAAAGGCAUAAGCUAGCUUGACUGCGAGAGUGACGGCUCGAGCAGGUACGAAAGUAGGUCUUAGUGAUCCGGUGGUUCUGAAUGGAAGGGCCAUCGCUCAACGGAUAAAAGGUACUCCGGGGAUAACAGGCUGAUACCGCCCAAGAGUUCAUAUCGACGGCGGUGUUUGGCACCUCGAUGUCGGCUCAUCACAUCCUGGGGCUGAAGUAGGUCCCAAGGGUAUGGCUGUUCGCCAUUUAAAGUGGUACGCGAGCUGGGUUUAGAACGUCGUGAGACAGUUCGGUCCCUAUCUGCCGUGGGCGUUGGAAGAUUGAGAGGGGCUGCUCCUAGUACGAGAGGACCGGAGUGGACGAAUCACUGGUGUUCGGGUUGUCAUGCCAAUGGCAUUGCCCGGUAGCUAAAUUCGGAAGAGAUAACCGCUGAAAGCAUCUAAGCGGGAAACUUGCCUCGAGAUGAGUCUUCCCUGGGGCUUAAAGCCCCCUGAAGGAACGUUAAAGACUAUGACGUUGAUAGGCUGGGUGUGUAAGUGCAGCGAUGUAUUGAGCUAACCAGUACUAAUGAUCCGUGAGGCUUAACCUUACAACACCGAAGGUGUUU